This 72-nucleotide transfer RNA is filed under the name Camelus bactrianus (Bactrian camel). It matches the Rfam family "tRNA". Rfam says of the family: Transfer RNA (tRNA) molecules are approximately 80 nucleotides in length. Their secondary structure includes four short double-helical elements and three loops (D, anti-codon, and T loops). The record is from Rfam by way of RNAcentral. RNAcentral also lists the same sequence under 2 other names. Lineage: Eukaryota; Metazoa; Chordata; Mammalia; Artiodactyla; Camelidae.
GAGGUUAUAGCUCAGUGGCAGAGCACAUGCUUAGCAUGCACAAGGUCCUAGGUUCAAUCCCCAGUACCUCCA